Molecule: ribosomal RNA, 522 nt
Filed under: uncultured bacterium
Lineage: Bacteria
Description: bacterial SSU rRNA
Rfam family: Bacterial small subunit ribosomal RNA
Source: RNAcentral
CCAGAGAAUUUAGCAGAGAUGCUUUAGUGCCUUCGGGGAACUCUGAGACAGGUGCUGCAUGGCUGUCGUCAGCUCGUGUUGUGAAAUGUCGGGUUAAGUCCCGCAACGAGCGCAACCCCUAUCCUUUGUUGCCAGCGAUUCGGUCGGGAACUCAAAGGAGACUGCCGGUGAUAAACCGGAGGAAGGUGGGGAUGACGUCAAGUCAUCAUGGCCCUUACGAGUAGGGCUACACACGUGCUACAAUGGCGCAUACAAAGAGAAGCGACCUCGCGAGAGCAAGCGGACCUCAUAAAGUGCGUCGUAGUCCGGAUUGGAGUCUGCAACUCGACUCCAUGAAGUCGGAAUCGCUAGUAAUCGUAGAUCAGAAUGCUACGGUGAAUACGUUCCCGGGCCUUGUACACACCGCCCGUCACACCAUGGGAGUGGGUUGCAAAAGAAGUAGAUAGCUUAACCUUCGGGAGGGCGUUUACCACUUUGUGAUUCAUGACUGGGGUGAAGUCGUAACAAGGUAAGCGUAGCGAG